AGUCAAGUAAUUAAGUGCAUGUGGUGGAUGCCUUGGCAGUCAGAGGCGAUGAAAGACGUGAUAGCCUGCGAAAAGCUCCGGGGAGGCGGCAAAUAUCCUUUGAUCCGGAGAUGUCUGAAUGGGGGAACCCACCUACUUUAAGGUAGGUAUUGCAACAUGAAUACAUAGUGUUGCAAGGCGAACGAGGGGAAGUGAAACAUCUCAGUACCCUUAGGAAAAGAAAUCAAUUGAGAUUCCCUCAGUAGCGGCGAGCGAACGGGGAUCAGCCCAUUAAGUUAUGUGUGUUUUAGUGGAACGCUCUGGGAAGUGCGAACGUAGAGGGUGAUAUUCCCGUACACGAAAGGGCACACAUAAUGAUGACGAGUAGGGCGAGGCACGUGAAACCUUGUCUGAAUAUGGGGGGACCAUCCUCCAAGGCUAAAUACUCCUGACUGACCGAUAGUGAACCAGUACCGUGAGGGAAAGGCGAAAAGAACCCCUGUGAGGGGAGUGAAAUAGAUCCUGAAACCGCAUGCAUACAAGCAGUGGGAGCACCUUCGUGGUGUGACUGCGUACCUUUUGUAUAAUGGGUCAGCGACUUAUAUUCAGUAGCGAGGUUAACCGUAUAGGGGAGCCGUAGAGAAAUCGAGUCUUAAUAGGGCGUUUAGUUGCUGGGUAUAGACCCGAAACCAGGCGAUCUAUCCAUGAGCAGGUUGAAGGUUGGGUAACACUAACUGGAGGACCGAACCCACUGUCGUUGAAAAGCCAGGGGAUGACUUGUGGAUAGGGGUGAAAGGCUAAUCAAGCCUGGUGAUAGCUGGUUCUCCCCGAAAGCUAUUUAGGUAGCGCCUCGGACGAAUACCAUAGGGGGUAGAGCACUGUUUCGGCUAGGGGGUCAUCCCGACUUACCAAACCGAUGCAAACUCCGAAUACCUAUGAGUACUAUCCGGGAGACAGACUGCGGGUGCUAACGUCCGUAGUCAAGAGGAAAACAAUCCAGACCGCCAGCUAAGGCCCCAAAAUCAUAGUUAAGUGGGAAACGAUGUGGGAAGGCAUAGACAGCUAGGAGGUUGGCUUAGAAGCAGCCACCCUUUAAAGAAAGCGUAAUAGCUCACUAGUCGAGUCGGCCUGCGCGGAAGAUGUAACGGGGCUAAAACUAUGUGCCGAAGCUGCGGAUGUAUACUUUGUAUACGUGGUAGGGGAGCGUUCUGUAAGCCGAUGAAGGUGUGUUGAGAAGCAUGCUGGAGGUAUCAGAAGUGCGAAUGCUGACGUGAGUAACGACAAAACGGGUGAAAAACCCGUUCGCCGAAAGACCAAGGGUUCCAGUCCAACGUUAAUCGGG
This 1321-nucleotide ribosomal RNA is filed under the name Acinetobacter baumannii. RNAcentral describes it as "partial 23S ribosomal RNA". It matches the Rfam family "Bacterial large subunit ribosomal RNA", at positions 1 to 1373 of the family's 2925-position model. The record is from RNAcentral. Lineage: Bacteria; Pseudomonadati; Pseudomonadota; Gammaproteobacteria; Moraxellales; Moraxellaceae.